Molecule: ribosomal RNA, 497 nt
Filed under: uncultured bacterium
Lineage: Bacteria
Description: partial 16S ribosomal RNA
Rfam family: Bacterial small subunit ribosomal RNA
Source: RNAcentral
GAUGAACGCUGGCGGCGUGCCUAAUACAUGCAAGUCGAGCGAACAGACGAGGAGCUUGCUCCUUCGACGUUAGCGGCGGACGGGUGAGUAACACGUAGGUAACCUACCUAUAAGACUGGGAUAACUUCGGGAAACCGGAGCUAAUACCGGAUAAUAUUUCGAACCGCAUGGUUCGAUAGUGAAAGAUGGCUUUGCUAUCACUUAUAGAUGGACCUGCGCCGUAUUAGCUAGUUGGUAAGGUAACGGCUUACCAAGGCAACGAUACGUAGCCGACCUGAGAGGGUGAUCUGCCACACUGGAACUGAGACACGGUCCAGACUCCUACGGGAGGCAGCAGUAGGGAAUCUUCCGCAAUGGGCGAAAGCCUGACGGAGCAACGCCGCGUGAGUGAUGAAGGUCUUCGGAUCGUAAAACUCUGUUAUUAGGGAAGAACAAACGUGUAAGUAACUGUGCACGUCUUGACGGUACCUAAUCAGAAAGCCACGGCUAACUACGUG